GAUGAAGAACGCAGCGAAAUGCGAUAAGUAAUGCGAAUUGCAGAAUUCCAGUGAGUCAUCGAAUCUUUGAACGCACAUUGCGCCCUUUGGCAUUCCGAAGGGCAUGCCUGUCCGAGCGUCAUUACAACCCUCAAGCUCAGCUUGGUGUUGGGCCCCGCCGCCCCGGCGGGCCCUAAAGUCAGUGGCGGUGCCGUCCGGCUCCGAGCGUAGUAAUUCUUCUCGCUCUGGAGGUCCGGUCGUGUGCUCGCCAGCAACCCCCAAUUUUUUUCAGGUUGACCUCGGAUCAGGUAGGGAUACCCGCUGAACUUAAGCAUAUCAAUAAGCGGAGGA
Molecule: unclassified non-coding RNA, 330 nt
Filed under: soil metagenome
Description: partial contains 5.8S ribosomal RNA, internal transcribed spacer 2, and large subunit ribosomal RNA
Rfam family: 5.8S ribosomal RNA (bases 1-121)
Source: RNAcentral